AGGAUAAACGCUGGCGGCGUGCCUAAUGCAUGCAAGUCGAACGAGGUACUCUUUCGGGGGUAUCGAGUGGCGGACGGGUGAGGAACACGUACGAGACCUGCCCUUGGAUGGGGAAUAACCCUUCGAAAGAGGGGCUAAUGCCGCAUACGGUCCCAGGCAGCAAGGUUUGGGAGGAAAGCUCGCAAGAGUGUCCGAGGAGGGGCGUGCGGCCGAUUAGCUAGUUGGUGGGGUAAAGGCCUACCAAGGCGACGAUCGGUAGCUGGU
Molecule: ribosomal RNA, 264 nt
Filed under: uncultured bacterium
Lineage: Bacteria
Description: partial small subunit ribosomal RNA
Rfam family: Bacterial small subunit ribosomal RNA
Source: RNAcentral